Molecule: ribosomal RNA, 401 nt
Filed under: uncultured bacterium
Lineage: Bacteria
Description: bacterial SSU rRNA
Rfam family: Bacterial small subunit ribosomal RNA
Source: RNAcentral
CAGAGCGAACGUUAGCGGCGGGCUUAACACAUGCAAGUCGAGCGAGAAAGGGGCUUCGGCCCUGAGUACAGCGGCGGACGGGUGAAUAACACGUAGGUAACCUUCCUUUCAGCGGGGGACAACGGUCCGAAAGGACCGCUAAUACCGCAUACGUUCCCUGGGACCUCGGUCCUGGGGAGGAAAGGCCCCGCAAGGGCCACUGGAUGAGGGGCCUGCGUAGCAUCAGCUAGUUGGUGGGGUAAUGGCCUACCAAGGCGAAGACGCUUAGCUGGUCUGAGAGGAUGAUCAGCCACACUGGGACUGAGACACGGCCCAGACUCCUACGGGAGGCAGCAGUGGGGAAUAUUGGACAAUGGGCGCAAGCCUGAUCCAGCCACGCCGCGUGAGUGAUGAAGGCCUUC